CUUCUGAUGAGGAUACCUUUUGUCCAGUUCUGCUGCUGAAUGGAAAGUGAUGGCAAUCUUAUUUAUCUGAGGAAG
RNAcentral lists this small nucleolar RNA (75 nucleotides) under Salvator merianae (Argentine black and white tegu). Lineage: Eukaryota; Metazoa; Chordata; Lepidosauria; Squamata; Teiidae. The record is from RNAcentral.